GUUCAUGAAGAGGUCUCAUAGAACAUACUGGAAUGUCAACUUGGAAUCAAAUAACUUCUGAACUUCAGUCUUAGGAGACAGGCAGAAUUUUUGAAGUUUAUCAUCCACUUGCAAAAAAAAAGAAGGAAAAGACCAUCAAGUUGUGUAAUUAAGUCAGCUGGAAUUAAUUAAAAUAGAUCAACGUGCAGUCCUUCCUGCCAUCCACUGUACAGCAGGAAAAGAAGAAACAUCUCUGAAAUAUCCUGUCUGGUCAUUUAGAAGGAAGAAAAUACAGAAGCAUCCAGAAGUCCCAGCUGAAAUCGUGCCUGCGUCGCUCUGCAGAGCUUUUACACCGAGUGGGAAAGAUGUGCAAGUGGGAGGGGAAGCAAAAAGAUGAAGUGACUUGGCCUAGAAUGAGAAGCAAUUCUCUCAGGAGGUGAGAGAUGAGAGGGGUCUGGUCUGGAAGCUGAACAGCCAUGCAGGCAGAGCCCUGGACGUGCAGGCAUUGGCUUCAGCUCUCAGUGGGCUUGUUAGCUCGGCUCCCAGGUAAUGCAAUCUCACAGCCUUCAGCUGAGAGCCAUUCUGCCAGCAAACAGAAUGAGCUUGCACCCACCUGUAUUGGUACUGAGGGCCAUAUUCUCACUGAGGGCAUUCUG
This is a non-coding RNA of Zonotrichia albicollis (white-throated sparrow), 635 nucleotides long. The record is from RefSeq and is a predicted model, not a curated record. NCBI's taxonomy places the organism in Eukaryota, Metazoa, Chordata, Aves, Passeriformes, Passerellidae.